GGAGCCGUAGCGAAAGCGAGUUUUAACUGAGCGUUCAGUUACUUGACGUAGACCCGAAACCGGGCGACCUACCCAUGAGCAGGAUGAAGCGAAAGUAAAAUUUCGUGGAGGUCCGAACCCACGAGCGUUGAAAAGCUCGGGGAUGACUUGUGGGUAGCGGUGAAAUUCCAAUCGAGCCCGGAGAUAGCUGGUUCUCCCCGAAAUAGCUUUAGGGCUAGCCUCAAGGUGAGAGAUACGGAGGUAGAGCACUGAAUGUCCUAGGGGGUAUUGCACCUACCGAAGACUAUCAAACUCCGAAUGCCGUCAUCUUAUACUUGGGAGUCAGACUGUGGGUGAUAAGAUUCAUAGUCGAAAGGGCAACAGCCCAGAUCGUCAGCUAAGGUCCCUAAAUGUAAGUUAAGUGGUAAAGGAUGUGGGAUUGCACAGACAACCAGGAUGUUGGCUUAGAAGCAGCCACUCAUUCAAAGAGUGCGUAAUAGCUCACUGGUCGAGUGAUCCUGCGCCGAAGAUUUCCGGGGCUAAAACUUACUACCGAAGCUACGGCAUCAGUAAUGAUGGGUAGGGGAGCUUCCCAUACGGGUUGAAGCAUGACCGUAAGGACAUGUGGACAGUAUGGGAGUGAGAAUGUUGGCAUGAGUAGCGAGAUGUGGGUGAGAAUCCCACAGGCCGUAAACCCAAGGUUUCCAGGGGAAGGUUCGUCCGCCCUGGGUUAGUCGGGACCUAAGCUGAGGCCGAAAGGCGUAGGUGAUGGACAACAGGUUGAUAUUCCUGUACUACCGAUAACCGUUUGAGAGAAGGGAUGACACAGUAGGAUAAGCUAAGCACACUGUUGGUUAUGUGUGCCCAAGCAUUGAGGCAGUCAAAGUAGGCAAAUCCGCUUUGAUAAUGCUGGGAUGUGAUGGGGAGCGAAAUUUAGUAGCGAAGUAGCUGAUUUCACACUGUCAAGAAAAGUCUCUAUCGAGGUUAAAGGUACCCGUACCGCAAACCGACACAGGUGGGUGAGGAGAGUAUCCUAAGGCCAGCGAGAGAACUGUUGUUAAGGAACUCGGCAAAAUGACCCCGUAACUUAGGGAUAAGGGGUGCCACCAUCAGGUGGCCGCAGAGAAUAGGCCCAAGCGACUGUUUACCAAAAACAUAGGUUUCUGCUAAGUCGCAAGACGAUGUAUAGGAGCUGACGCCUGCCCGGUGCUGGAAGGUUAAGGGGAUCUGUUAGAGCAAUCGAAGCAGUGAACUUAAGCCCCAGUAAACGGCGGCCGUAACUAUAACGGUCCUAAGGUAGCGAAAUUCCUUGUCGGGUAAGUUCCGACCCGCACGAAAGGCGUAACGAUUUGGGCACUGUCUCAACAACAGACUCGGUGAAAUUGUAAUUCCGGUGAAGAUGCCGGAUACCUGCGACAGGACGGAAAGACCCCAUGGAGCUUUACUGUAGCUUGACAUUGGGUCUUGGUACUACAUGUACAGGAUAGGUGGGAGGCUUUGAAACCAGGACGCCAGUUUUGGCGGAGCCAUCCUUGGGAUACCACCCUUGUAGUACUGGGACUCUAACCAUAGGCCAUGAAUCUGGUCUUGGGACACUGUCAGGUGGGCAGUUUGACUGGGGCGGUCGCCUCCCAAAAGGUAACGGAGGCGCUCAAAGGUUCUCUCAGUACGGUCGGAAAUCGUACGUAGAGUGUAAAGGCAAAAGAGAGCUUGAUUGCAAGACAUACAGGUCGAGCAAGGAUGAAAAUCGGACUUAGUGAUCCGGUGGUUCUGCGUGGAAGGGCCAUCGCUCAACGGAUAAAAGCUACCCUGGGGAUAA
This 1798-nucleotide ribosomal RNA is filed under the name Clostridioides difficile. Its description in RNAcentral is "partial 23S ribosomal RNA". It matches the Rfam family "Bacterial large subunit ribosomal RNA", at positions 662 to 2477 of the family's 2925-position model. Lineage: Bacteria; Bacillati; Bacillota; Clostridia; Peptostreptococcales; Peptostreptococcaceae. The record is from RNAcentral.